CCUACGGGAGGCUGCAGUGAGGAAUAUUGGUCAAUGGGCGGGAGCCUGAACCAGCCAAGCCGCGUGAGGGAAGAAGGUACAGCGUAUCGUAAACCUCUUUUGUCAGGGAACAAAGGCGGGGACUAGUCCCCGGAUGAGGGUACCUGAAGAAAAAGCAUCGGCUAACUCCGUGCCAGCAGCCGCGGUAAUACGGAGGAUGCGAGCGUUAGCCGGAUUUAUUGGGUUUAAAGGGUGCGCAGGCGGCCUGUUAAGUCAGCGGGAAAAGCCCGGGGCUCAACCCCGGCGAGCCGUUGAAACUGGCGGGCUGGAGUUGGAGAGAAGUACGCGGAAUGCGCGGUGUAGCGGUGAAAUGCUUAGAUAUCGCGCAGAACCCCGAUUGCGAAGGCAGCGUACCGGCUCCACACUGACGCUGAGGCACGAAAGCGUGGGUAUCGAACAGGAUUAGAUACCCUAGUAGUC
Molecule: ribosomal RNA, 459 nt
Filed under: uncultured bacterium
Lineage: Bacteria
Description: partial 16S ribosomal RNA
Rfam family: Bacterial small subunit ribosomal RNA
Source: RNAcentral